AUUGAACGCUGGCGGCAUGCCUUACACAUGCAAGUCGAACGGUAACAGGUCUUCGGAUGCUGACGAGUGGCGAACGGGUGAGUAAUACAUCGGAACGUGCCCAGACGUGGGGGAUAACGAGGCGAAAGCUUUGCUAAUACCGCAUACGAUCUAAGGAUGAAAGCAGGGGACCGCAAGGCCUUGCGCGUUUGGAGCGGCCGAUGGCAGAUUAGGUAGUUGGUGGGAUAAAAGCUUACCAAGCCGACGAUCUGUAGCUGGUCUGAGAGGACGACCAGCCACACUGGGACUGAGACACGGCCCAGACUCCUACGGGAGGCAGCAGUGGGGAAUUUUGGACAAUGGGCGAAAGCCUGAUCCAGCAAUGCCGCGUGCAGGAUGAAGGCCUUCGGGUUGUAAACUGCUUUUGUACGGAACGAAAAGGCCCUGGCUAAUACCUGGGGCGCAUGACGGUACCGUAAGAAUAAGCACCGGCUAACUACGUGCCAGCCGCCGCGGUAA
This 498-nucleotide ribosomal RNA is filed under the name uncultured bacterium. Its description in RNAcentral is "partial 16S ribosomal RNA". It matches the Rfam family "Bacterial small subunit ribosomal RNA", at positions 30 to 523 of the family's 1533-position model. The record is from RNAcentral.